AAUGAAAAAUAAAAUUGCAUUCGACAAUAUCUUCCUGGUUUCAAUGAACUACAUUAUAACUAACAACGAUAUAAUUAUGUAUAGGAGAUGAAAUUCAAUUUAAGAGGGAUCUUUAUUCUAGAGGAAAAGACUCUCUGAAAAAACAUUUAUAAAUUAGACUUCCACAAUGAUUUUAUGCUCCCUUGGUGGCUAUACAUUUCUUCAAUCCUGUCCAGUUGGUUGCUGUGGAAGCAGUUGUUGUCCAGAAAACGAAUUGUUUGGAGGUGAGUUAACAGGAAUUAUAACAGGAUCGCUGGCGUUCUUGUUGUUUAUCAUAAUUACUCUGAUACUUGUUUGGUAUAAAUCAGAUGAUAUGAACAGAAAUAGAUGGAAACAAAUUUCAAUAGUAUGACAUAAAAUAAGACAACCAACGACGAAACAGUUGAACAUUUUCUUCCGACUUAUUGAUGUUCACAUCGAGGCAAUGUGACAGCUGAUGAUACUUGAUUAUUCUCCAAAUAGAUAAAUAGAUAUAGGAUCCAAAUGAUUAAAGACUUGAUUGGAAAUAUCAGACAAACAUUAUGUUCGAGGAGAUACAUAUCAAUGCUGAAAAGUUAUAGAAAUUGAGAAGCAAUGUUCCCCAAAACAUGACAUUCUUUUAUAAACCUUGAUCUAAAUGUGUUGUUUGACUAUAGAUAAAGUUUUCUCAUCGAAAGGGGAACCUAUCAAGAUAUUACUUAUUUCCUUUAUCAUAUUCAUUAUUAUUGUUUUGUAAACUUUAGAAAAUAUUUUAUAUCCUAUAGUUCCAUUCAUCUUUGUUUCUUUGCGCAACAGUGUUAUCAGAAAUGAUGGCGUAAUCUGUCAAGGGUGGAGAUGAGGGGAAUUGAUCGUUACCCUUGGCUAAAGAAGAUGAAUUCCAUUAAGAAACGAUUAGCAAAAGCAUGAAACCAUGAAAACAAUAUCUGCUAAGAAACUUCCCUGCUAAACUUA
This is a long non-coding RNA of Mytilus trossulus (common blue mussel), 969 nucleotides long. RefSeq lists it as uncharacterized. Lineage: Eukaryota; Metazoa; Mollusca; Bivalvia; Mytilida; Mytilidae. The record is from RefSeq and is a predicted model, not a curated record. The transcript has 4 exons.